CCUACGGGAGGCAGCAGUGGGGAAUAUUGGACAAUGGGGGGAACCUGAUCCAGCCAUGCCGCGUGUGUGAAGAAGGCCUUUUGGUUGUAAAGCACUUUAAGUGGGGAGGAGGCUUACCUGGUUAAUACCUGGGCUAAGUGGACGUUACCCACAGAAUAAGCACCGGCUAACUCUGUGCCAGCAGCCGCGGUAAU
Molecule: ribosomal RNA, 194 nt
Filed under: uncultured bacterium
Lineage: Bacteria
Description: partial 16S ribosomal RNA
Rfam family: Bacterial small subunit ribosomal RNA
Source: RNAcentral